UACCUGGUUGAUUCUGCCAGUAGUCAUAUGCUUGUCUCAAAGAUUAAGCCAUGCAUGUCUAAGUAUAAGCAAUUAUACAGCGAAACUGCGAAUGGCUCAUUAUAUAAGUUAUCGUUUAUUUGAUAGUGCCUUACUACUUGGAUAACCGUGGUAAUUCUAGAGCUAAUACAUGCUACAAGCCCUGACUUCGGAAGGGGCGUAUUUAUUAGAUUAAAAACCAAUGCCCUCUGGGCUCCUUGGUGAAUCAUGAUAACUUCACGAAUCGCACGGCCUUGCGCCGGCGAUGGCUCAUUCAAAUUUCUUCCCUAUCAACUUUCGAUGUUUGGGUAGUGGCCAAACAUGGUUGCAACGGGUAACGGAGGGUUAGGGCUCGACCCCGGAGAAGGAGCCUGAGAAACGGCUACUACAUCCAAGGAAGGCAGCAGGCGCGCAAAUUACCCAAUCCCGAUUCGGGGAGGUAGUGACAAUAAAUACUGAUACAGGGCUCUUUCGGGUCUUGUAAUCGGAAUGAGUACAAUUUAAAUCCCUUAACGAGGAACAAUUGGAGGGCAAGUCUGGUGCCAGCAGCCGCGGUAAUUCCAGCUCCAAUAGCGUAUAUUAAAGUUGUUGUGGUUAAAAAGCUCGUAGUUGAACCUUGGGCCUGGCUGGCCGGUCCGCCUCACCGCGUGUACUGGUCCGGCCGGGCCUUUCCCUCUGUGGAACCUCAUGCCCUUCACUGGGUGUGCUGGGGAAACAGGACUUUUACUUUGAAAAAAUUAGAGUGCUCCAGGCAGGCCUAUGCUCGAAUACAUUAGCAUGGAAUAAUAAAAUAGGACGUGCGGUUCUAUUUUGUUGGUUUCUAGGACCGCCGUAAUGAUUAAUAGGGACAGUCGGGGGCAUCAGUAUUCAAUUGUCAGAGGUGAAAUUCUUGGAUUUAUUGAAGACUAACUACUGCGAAAGCAUUUGCCAAGGAUGUUUUCAUUAAUCAGGAACGAAAGUUAGGGGAUCGAAAACGAUCAGAUACCGUUGUAGUCUUAACCAUAAACUAUGCCGACUAGGGAUCGGACGAUGUUAUUUUUUGACUCGUUCGGCACCUUACGAGAAAUCAAAGUGCUUGGGCUCCAGGGGGAGUAUGGUCGCAAGGCUGAAACUUAAAGAAAUUGACGGAAGGGCACCACCAGGGGUGGAGCCUGCGGCUUAAUUUGACUCAACACGGGGAAACUCACCAGGUCCAGACACAAUGAGGAUUGACAGAUUGAGAGCUCUUUCUUGAUUUUGUGGGUGGUGGUGCAUGGCCGUUCUUAGUUGGUGGGGNNNNNNNNNNNNNNNNNNNNNNNNNNNNNNNNNNNNNNNNNNNNNNNNNNNNNNNNNNNNNNNNNNNNACGAGGAAUCCCUAGUAAGCGCAAGUCAUCAGCUUGCGUUGAUUACGUCCCUGCCCUUUGUACACACCGCCCGUCGCUACUACCGAUUGAAUGGCUUAGUGAGGCGUUCGGACUGGUCCAGGGAGGUGGGCAACUACCACCCAGGACCGGAAAGUUCUCCAAACUUGGUCAUUUAGAGGAAGUAAAAGUCGUAACAAGGUCUCCGUUGGUGAACCAGCGGAGGGAUCAUUA
This is a ribosomal RNA of 1592 nucleotides. It matches the Rfam family "Eukaryotic small subunit ribosomal RNA". The record is from Rfam.